ACGCUCGACACCUACGGGGGCAGCAGUAGGGAAUCUUCCGCAAUGGACGAAAGUCUGACGGAGCAACGCCGCGUGAACGAUGAAGGUUUUCGGAUCGUAAAGUUCUGUUGUUAGGGAAGAACAAACUUCGUUUGAAUAAGGCGGAGUCAUGACGGUACCUAACGAGAAAGCCACGGCUAACUACGUGCAGCACGCCGACGGUAAUCUGAGGCGGGCUGGACGAAGGC
RNAcentral lists this ribosomal RNA (227 nucleotides) under uncultured bacterium. RNAcentral's name for it is "partial 16S ribosomal RNA". It matches the Rfam family "Bacterial small subunit ribosomal RNA", at positions 328 to 538 of the family's 1533-position model. The record is from RNAcentral.